RNAcentral lists this unclassified non-coding RNA (345 nucleotides) under soil metagenome. RNAcentral's name for it is "partial contains 5.8S ribosomal RNA, internal transcribed spacer 2, and large subunit ribosomal RNA". The stretch from base 1 to 120 matches the Rfam family "5.8S ribosomal RNA", at positions 35 to 154 of the family's 154-position model. The record is from RNAcentral.
GAUGAAGAACGUAGUGAAAUGCGAUAAGUAAUGUGAAUUGCAGAAUCUAGUGAAUCAUCGAGUCUUUGAACGCACAUUGCGCCCCCUGGUAUUCCGGGGGGCAUGCCUGUCCGAGCGUCAUUGCUGCCCUCAAGCACGGCUUGUGUGUUGGGCCUCCGUCCUCCUCCCGGGGGACGGGCCCGAAAGGCAGCGGCGGCACCGCGUCCGGUCCUCGAGCGUAUGGGGCUUCGUCACCCGCUCUUGUAGGCCCGGCCGGCGCUUGCCGACACAUCAAUCUUUUUUCCAGGUUGACCUCGGAUCAGGUAGGGAUACCCGCUGAACUUAAGCAUAUCAAUAAGCGGAGGA